Molecule: ribosomal RNA, 384 nt
Filed under: uncultured prokaryote
Description: bacterial SSU rRNA
Rfam family: Archaeal small subunit ribosomal RNA
Source: RNAcentral
GCGAAAACUUUACAAUGCUGGCAACAGCGAUAAGGGAACCUCGAGUGCCAGGUUACAAAUCUGGCUGUCGAGAUGCCUAAAAAGCAUUUCAUAGCAAGGGCCGGGCAAGACCGGUGCCAGCCGCCGCGGUAACACCGGCGGCUCGAGUGGUAACCGUUAUUAUUGGGUCUAAAGGGUCUGUAGCCGGCCGGAUAAGUCUCUUGAGAAAUCUGGCAGCUUAACUGUCAGGCUUUCAGGAGAUACUGUCUGGCUCGAGGCCGGGAGAGGUGAGAGGUACUUCAGGGGUAGGGGUGAAAUCUUGUAAUCCUUGAAGGACCACCAGUGGCGAAGGCGUCUCACCAGAACGGACCUGACAUCAAGGGACGAACGCUAGGGGCACGAACC